GCUUAGCCUUAAACCCAGAUAUUUUUUUACAAGAAAUAUCCGCCAGGGUACUACAAGCGCUAGCUUAAAACCCAAAGGACUUGACGGUGUCUUAGUCCCACCUAGAGGAGCCUGUUCUAGAACCGAUGAUCCACGUUCAACCUCACCACCUCUUGUUAUCCCAGCCUAUAUACCGCCGUCGCAAGCUUACCCUGUGAAGGAUAAACAGUAAGCACAAUGGAAUUUUCCCAGAACGUCAGGUCGAGGUGUAGCUUAUGGGGUGGGAAGAAAUGGGCUACAUUCUCUAUAUUAGAGUAUACGAAUGGCACUAUGAAAUUAGUACCUGAAGGUGGAUUUAGCAGUAAAAAUCAAAUAGAGAGUCAUUUUGAAGCAGGCUCUGAGACGCGC
This 387-nucleotide ribosomal RNA is filed under the name Rachoviscus graciliceps. Its description in RNAcentral is "partial 12S ribosomal RNA". It matches the Rfam family "Bacterial small subunit ribosomal RNA", at positions 794 to 1384 of the family's 1533-position model. Lineage: Eukaryota; Metazoa; Chordata; Actinopteri; Characiformes; Acestrorhamphidae. The record is from RNAcentral.